RNAcentral lists this ribosomal RNA (216 nucleotides) under Glomeromycotina sp. RNAcentral describes it as "partial small subunit ribosomal RNA". The stretch from base 40 to 216 matches the Rfam family "Eukaryotic small subunit ribosomal RNA", at positions 686 to 864 of the family's 1831-position model. The record is from RNAcentral. Lineage: Eukaryota; Fungi; Glomeromycota.
GGGUCAUUAGGUUGGUCGUGCCACCGGUACGUACUGGUCUCACUGAUUCCUCCUUCCUGAAGAACCGUAAUGCCAUUAAUUUGGUGUUGCGGGGAGACAGGACUGUUACUUUGAAAAAAUUAGAGUGUUUAAAGCAAGCUAACGCUUGAAUACAUUAGCAUGGAAUAAUGAAAUAGGACGAUCGAUCCUAUUUUGUUGGUUUCUAGGAUUGACGUA